RNAcentral lists this ribosomal RNA (644 nucleotides) under Pestalotiopsis sp. F44. Its description in RNAcentral is "eukaryotic LSU rRNA". The stretch from base 264 to 417 matches the Rfam family "5.8S ribosomal RNA". Lineage: Eukaryota; Fungi; Ascomycota; Sordariomycetes; Amphisphaeriales; Sporocadaceae. The record is from RNAcentral.
CUUGGUCAUUUAGAGGAAGUAAAAGUCGUAACAAGGUCUCCGUUGGUGAACCAGCGGAGGGAUCAUUAUAGAGUUUUCUAAACUCCCAACCCAUGUGAACUUACCAUUGUCGCCUCGGCAGAAGCUGCUCGGUGCACCUUACCCUGGAACGGCCUACCCUGUAGCGCCUUACCCUGGAACGGCCUACCCUGUAGCGGCUGCCGGUGGACUACCAAACUCUUGUUAUUGUAUUGUAAUCUGAGCGUCUUAUUUUAAUAAGUCAAAACUUUCAACAACGGAUCUCUUGGUUCUGGCAUCGAUGAAGAACGCAGCGAAAUGCGAUAAGUAAUGUGAAUUGCAGAAUUCAGUGAAUCAUCGAAUCUUUGGACGCACAUUGCGCCCAUUAGUAUUCUAGUGGGCAUGCCUGUUCGAGCGUCAUUUCAACCCUUAAGCCUAGCUUAGUGUUGGGAGCCUACUGCUUUUACUAGCUGUAGCUCCUGAAAUACAACGGCGGAUCUGCGAUAUCCUCUGAGCGUAGUAAAUUUUUAUCUCGCUUUUGACUGGAGUUGCAGCGUCUUUAGCCGCUAAAUCCCCCAAUUUUUAAUGGUUGACCUCGGAUCAGGUAGGAAUACCCGCUGAACUUAAGCAUAUCAAUAAGCGGAGGA